This 424-nucleotide ribosomal RNA is filed under the name uncultured bacterium. RNAcentral describes it as "partial 16S ribosomal RNA". It matches the Rfam family "Bacterial small subunit ribosomal RNA", at positions 360 to 776 of the family's 1533-position model. The record is from RNAcentral.
AAUAUUGGACAAUGGGCGAAAGCCUGAUCCAGCCAUCCCGCGUGUGUGAAGAAGGUCUUCGGUUUGUAAAGCACUUUUGUUGGGGAGGAAAGGAGGUCGCCGAAUCCUUGACAGUUUUGACGGUAUCACAACAAUAAGCACCGGCUAACUUCGUGCACCCAGCCGCGGUAAUACGAAGGGUGCAAGAGUUAAUCUGAAUUACUGUGCGUAAAGCGCGUGUAGGUGGUUCGUUAAGUUGGAAGUGAAAGCCCCGGGCUCAACCUGGGAAUUGCUUUCAAAACUGGCGAGCUAGAGUACGGUAGAGGGUGGUAGAAUUUCCUGUGUAGCGGUGAAAUGCGUAGAUAUAGGAAGGAACAUCAGUGGCGAAGGCGACCACCUGGACUGAUACUGACACUGAGAUACGAAAGCGUGGGGAGCAAACAGG